RNAcentral lists this non-coding RNA (87 nucleotides) under human gut metagenome. RNAcentral describes it as "S10-Clostridia ribosomal protein leader". It matches the Rfam family "S10-Clostridia ribosomal protein leader". The record is from RNAcentral.
UGAUAGCGUAGAAGCGUGAGGUUGCUGCAAGCUUCGAGCCUGCAGGUUUUCCGUGGAGCGAAUGUCAAGUUAUGAAACUGGCGACAA